RNAcentral lists this ribosomal RNA (253 nucleotides) under uncultured bacterium. RNAcentral's name for it is "partial 16S ribosomal RNA". It matches the Rfam family "Bacterial small subunit ribosomal RNA", at positions 524 to 776 of the family's 1533-position model. The record is from RNAcentral.
UACGUAGGUGGCAAGCGUUGUCCGGAUUUACUGGGCGUAAAGGGCGUGCAGGCGGUUUGUUAAGUUCAGGGUGAAAUCUCUCGGCUUAACCGGGAGCGGUCGUUGGAAACUGAUGGACUUGAGGCGAUGAGAGGGGUGUGGAAUUCCCGGUGUAGUGGUGGAAUGCGUAGAUAUCGGGAGGAACAUCAGUGGCGAAAGCGGCACCCUGGCAUUAGCCUGACGCUCAUGUGCGAAAGCGUGGGGAGCGAACGGG